UUUAUUAGAAACACAAAAUUGAACAUUAUUUGUAUAUUUCCAGACUACAUAGUCUGUUUUCUUUCUUUUUAUUUGUCCACAUUCGCAAUCACAUGUCUCAUUUAUGUUACAUUGCAUACAAAGAAUGUCAAACUGAUGAUAAACCAAAUGCUACAUUUGGCCUAUAUGAGACUCCGAUAUCAAUUUAUACGAAAUAAAUUUUGGAGUUCUCGUGUUUCAGAGAUCUCUGGUUACCUCACCAAAGCAUUGUACCGGCAUAAAUAUUGGACUGUGCAGCCCAGUGAAUUUUGGCCGAGAUUAAAGUAA
Non-coding RNA from Vicia faba (fava bean), 306 nucleotides. The record is from the annotation of a GenBank genome assembly. Lineage: Eukaryota; Viridiplantae; Streptophyta; Magnoliopsida; Fabales; Fabaceae.